UUGUUUUCCUGGCACUCCGCCUGAAGGCGGGCAUCAUCUCCCCUAUAAAAACGACAUUGUUCCUGCAUCCUGCCGUAUUGGAAUACAUUCCGCCAUCGGAGCACCAACAGAAAGAAACAUAAUGCAGCGUGCAGUGAUCGCCAUCUUUGUGCUCGUCCUCGUGGCCUGCGCCUUGGUUGCCGUUGAAGCCCAAUUCGGCAGAGGCGGGUUUGGAGGUGGCCGUGGCUUCGGCGGUGGUCGUGGCUUCGGAGGAGGCUUCGGCGGUGGCCGUGGAUUCGGAGGAGGCUUCGGCGGUGGUCGUGGAUUCAGAGGAGGCUUCGGCGGUGGUCGUGGAUUCGGUGGUGGCCGUGGAUUCUAUGGUUGAUCAUUCUGCUGACUGUUUCAACUGAAGGCACGGCGAGCUCCCAUUCCUGCAAGGAUACUACCGUCCAGGCAAACUGCCAUUCAAUUUGUAAAAUAAUAUAUAUGUUUGACGAACUCUGCUGGUCAAAGGACGCAAAUAAACACUUUUCUAAACAGUGAA
This is a long non-coding RNA of Ornithodoros turicata, 523 nucleotides long. RefSeq lists it as uncharacterized. The transcript has 3 exons. The record is from RefSeq and is a predicted model, not a curated record. NCBI's taxonomy places the organism in Eukaryota, Metazoa, Arthropoda, Arachnida, Ixodida, Argasidae.